CCUGGAUCUCCUAUGGGCUGAUGAUGAUUGCUACCCUUCUUCCAGGAAUAUUCAGGUAUUUCUGACCCUUACCAAAAACCUGACCUAUGAAUAAGGCCAUACAUUCAGGUUUCU
Molecule: long non-coding RNA, 114 nt
Organism: Melanotaenia boesemani (Boeseman's rainbowfish)
Lineage: Eukaryota; Metazoa; Chordata; Actinopteri; Atheriniformes; Melanotaeniidae
Exons: 3
Source: RefSeq, a predicted model, not a curated record